Long non-coding RNA from Dromaius novaehollandiae (emu), 4703 nucleotides. RefSeq lists it as uncharacterized. The record is from RefSeq and is a predicted model, not a curated record. The transcript is spliced from 7 exons. NCBI's taxonomy places the organism in Eukaryota, Metazoa, Chordata, Aves, Casuariiformes, Dromaiidae.
AUCACCCGUAUUGGGUUGUCUCUUGCUUGCCUCGUCCGACCUACCCCAACAGAAAGGCCCAAGACUAAGCCUGUAGAUUCUGAGGUGUAACAUUGAGAAGGAGAUUUCCUGCAUGGUGUAGUCCAUAGCUGACUGGAUGAAACACUGGGUAAUGUACUACUAGGACACAGUAGCGUGAGAUGGCCCAGCUCAUAAGCUAUAUGUUUUAAACCACUGAGACUGAAUUUACUGGGUCUGAACAGCUUCUUUCUCACACCAAGGGGAAAAUGUCAAGGUUUCUGUCAAGGGGAAAGAAGAUGUAUGGCUUUCCAUGAAGUGAUGAGUCCCUCCAGGGUUCAGAGUUUUGCGAGCUCAGCUGGGACUGGCCUUGCUAUGAAGAAUGGGGGAGUGCUGCCUGGUCCCAGGGGAGCAGGAGCAGUUGUGCUGCCUUCAGUCUCCAGGGUGUCCAGAGAAGGCAAACAGUGUUCCUCAGCUGUCCUCACCUGUGACUGCAAGCCGAGCUGUUGAGAUGUAUAGAGAUCGUCCUAGGGAGAAAAUGAGUGGUUGGAGCACUGCUCUGAGUAGUGCUCUAUUGCCGAAGAGCCAGCAAGUCCCAUCUGCCACCACCACCCUCCUGUGAAUGAAAUGGCUGCAAAAAAAAAGUUCUGGGAGGCAAUUCACACGCAGAAGUUAUUCUUGAAGGGAUGAUGUUUGCGGAGCUGGGAACACUGACUCACUCCUGCCGUCCUCGCAGGCUCCAAGGCGUGAUGCAGAGGAGACAAGCUGAGGAUGGAGAGAAACUUAACAAACCUGCCCUAGAGAAACCAAGUACUCUAAAGUAGCCCACAAAAAUUUCAGCCUGUUCCAUGCUGAAAAUAGGGCUCGGGCCCUUGUAGGGCAGAGACUCGUCAGGAAGGCCUCCACGGCCCUGGCACGCUGGACAGGGGAGUCUGCAAGUCUCUGGUUUGUGUCAGCUGUUUGUGUGCCCCAGGGGACACUGCACUGACCUUAUUGCGUCUGGUCGCUCUCGCUACCAACUACAGGGCUCCUCGGCGGGAUUAAAAGUGGAUUUUUCAGCUAUUGCAUUGCCCGAGCAGCCUGCCUGGGAAAAGCCAGGUUCAGGGUACUUGAAAAGACCUCAAGGCUUGCAAAGGCUGAAAACACUCUCACUCCCAUCUGACGCUCUAAGGGUCAGGCACCUAAAGGACCUUUCACAAUCCUGAAAAAAAUCAUGAAUUCACUGAUAACCCCUGCAGGGCUUGCUUUGCCAGAAAACAGCUGCAUUUUCUGUUCAAAUGCCUCUUUCAGCUUGUCUGCUUCAUUAGCGGAUGCUGUCCUAAACACAGGACAGUUGGAUUAAAAUUCAUGCCAAAGAGUACAGAAAAUGAACUGCCAGCACAGAGCAAACAUAUGAAACCUGGAUGAAAAACACUCCAGAAACAAAGAGCAGUGCAAUGUCACUGCCAGGUGGUAUUUGGCCUUGAAAAGGGUUCAGUUACCUGGGAUUGCCUCCGAAUUUCCCGACAAACCUUAAAUAACACCAGCUCGAGAACCCAAUUGGCUCCUUGGGAAGCUGCAUGGGCUGGACUGGGCUGAGCAAAACCUCCUGGUGCCGCACAAGCAGCUGCAGCCCUGGCAGGGCUGGCCGUCCUGAGCAGGUCUGCCGGGCCCUGGAAGAGGAAUCGGACGCCCACAAAACCUCAGAGCACGGACAAGAGACAGCAGCUUCACCAGGCCCUGCAUCUCAGGCGAGUGGCAGCACAGGAGCAGGCUCCAAGGCUGUGGGAAAGACACAGCCCAUCAGCAUAGCUCACAGCAAAAAAGGCUUAAACUAGAUCAGCCGUAGCCAUAGGGCACUAUAACUACAAGGAAAGGUAUCUGGGUUUGAUUUACAUGCUGUACCUUGUGAAACUAGAGUAUCUCCAUGCUGUGAGUAUCUCCAUGCUGAGCCCCCAGGUAUUUAGAUUCAUUCAAGAAUUCAUUCAUUCAAGCAGGACUAAAAAGCUUACUGCCAAGCAGAAGCAAGCAAACAAAAAACCAGGAUCUCCUGUACUUACUUGUCUGUACAGGCUGUUUUGACUUAAAAAACAAACAGAAAAACCCCAAGAGGCACCACAAGUCUUACAGACAUUGCAAAAAAACUGUGGCAACAUUUUAAUUGCAAUUUGGGCAACAUUUGGGUUUGUUAGCUCUGCUGUGGAUAAGUGAACAAAUGGCUCAUAUGAUUUUGAAAGAUUUUUUUUUUUAUCUACUCAGAAGCCCUUCUCUGUUUACAAGGCAGAGAUUGUGACGCAUUUGCCUUCCUCUUAUUUGAGUGUAUCUGUUAUUCAAAGCUUCAAUAAAGUUUCAACUUGAGGGUCUGACAGUAGUGUUGCCAGACCAGCAAUCACCAUACUUCACAGCUGUAAGAGUAAUUCAAUAGGCAUCUUCUUUUAUAGGGUGCUACAGGGAAAUUUCAAAGCUCCUGUCAUUUCAGAGGAGCUGACACCAAUAGCCCUGCCACAUGAAUUUUGAAGACAUUCAUGAGCUAAACUUUGCGCUUGCAGUAAAUUACCACCAGUGUUAAAUGACCGCCUUGAAGUUCUUCCAGAUGCUUGCAUGAGAUGGCUAAUCAAAACUAUCUUUGCUGAGCAAUUAGUCCCCAGUCGUCUCUUAGGCAAUUGCUUUGGCAUGCUUAAAACUUCCAGUUGUACGAUGUGCUUCCUGGCGACCUGAGCAGUGGCUAAGAAACUCGCCCCCACUCCGGUCCCGCUCCACUGCCUGCAUUAGUGCCACUUCUGCCUGAACGAGCCCCUGAAAAGCAUAGUUUUUACUGCCAUCUAAUGUCUACCCAGAUGACAUAAUUUCCUGUUGCUGUAGUAUAUUAGACUAAUGCUGUUAGAGCAUUUGAUACUUCUUAAUCUAAUUAUCCAAAGCCAAGCACGUGGUCUGUGGCAGCCCGUGCAAGCCUCCUGCGCCGCCGCAGCUGCUCCCCGGCUGAAUCCUGCUCGGCUCUUCGCGGUGUUACCCUGAGCUUGUGUUUCCCAUGUUUCCCGCCAGUGCAGCUGGGGCUAAAUGCACAUAUCAUGUUUGCUCUGAAACCAGGGGUGGGCAGCGCUGCCACGCAGGGUCAUUUUUGGCACUUUUUCAUGCCGGGGACUGAUGCUGCCUCGACGAGAGGGGCCGGGGCAGGCACACAAUUUAAAUGAAGAUCAAUGUGUUUUCAUAUAUACACAUAUUAUAUAUAUAUAUAUGCACAUAAAAGCACUCAAAGAAAAAAAGAGAAAAUACAUGCAGCCCCAUACUGUAAAUACUCUCUUACUGAAAGUCUAGUUACUCAUCCACAAAUAACUCCCCAGGCCUAAUAGUUGAAAUAAAUAAGUUACUUAUACUACUAGGUUGAGUAAAACUAUUCUGCUGCAUUCCUCACUGCACCAGGGGAUCUAAAUUUUUUUUUUUUUUUUUUUUUGCAUAUGCUUUUCUUAAUAUUACAUCCAUCCCUCUAAAAAAGAUUCUGGAUUUCAAUUAAAUAGAUGAAAACUGAGGUUGUUAAAUGACAGUCACUGUGAGCUCAGCUUUUCCAUGUUGCCAUGUUGACUGACUACUUACUGGUGGGUUGACUGGUGGGGAUGGGAGCCCAUGCAUCAAAUGCCCAUUUUUCUACCAUAAUAUUUCUUCAUUGUUACCAGACCAACUUUUUAAAUUUGAUAUGCAGUACAAAAGCUGGCUCAUCAGGCAGAAGAAAGAUCAAUGGUAUUUAUCGUGCAAGCCCUAGAAUGAGGUCAUGCAGGUCCCCUUCCAGAUCUAAUCUUCUCUCCCCUUUUUUAUUAAUGAACUCUGCAACCGAGAUGGUUUUUUCAAUCCCUUGGGCCUUGAGAUGAAAGCCUUCAUGGCCUCCGCCUAUGCAAGAACAUGAAAAAUGCUUGAUUUAAUGCUAAAGAACAAAUUCCUGGAGGUACAAGUUGCCGUACCAUGCUCCCCAGAGAGAACACGCUUACUAAAACAGUUGCCUGUGCGGGUUUCAAAGCUGGAUGCUGCUACUUUAUGGGGGGAGCUGAAAAUUGUAUAACCCCCCUCUCUGCACGUAACAGUGGCUGGAGGCUGCAGCAGCAGUGACGACGCUGGGGAAUAGUCAGUUUAGCCCCUUGCUGUCCUCUCCCCCUCUAGCCAGUAAAUCCAGGCCUACAUGGGGACACAAAUUUUAACACGUGCCAAUACCUGAUGCCACUUUGCUGGCAGCACUGCAGCAGUGGCAAGGCACCUGCGGCUUUUGCCUGGCAGUAACCCCAUGCAGGCAACUUUCUCAGCUGCAGUCGUUGCCGAACUGAGCUCAUGGCAGACCGCACACUUGUCUCCACCAGCGUUUUGUUUCGAAGAGCAGGGUAGCUCACCAGCAUCUGUUUGCCCCUUGAUGAAACACACUAUUUUUAACAACGAAGCUAAACUUGCAGGUAGGCAGGGGUUUGUGUGGCUAGGCCUUUUGAGAAGGGUGAAGAAGUAGAGUGGCACUUCAGUGCUCGGACAGAGAAACCGCCAAGAAGAAACCCGCUUUGGUCAUUAGCCCACCGGACUGAGCAGCUAUGCCACUGGCACCGUUGCUCUGAGAGCCAGGCUACGGCAGGGGUGAAUUUGGCCCAAGAGCUGAAGAUGGAAAGCUGCAGGCCCCCUGCCACAAGACGUUUUCUUUUCACUAACCGACCCACAUGAGGUUAAUGUGCAGAGUGCUAUUAAUCCUCCUACAAACA